CUAAAACAAAAAUUUAUUUAAAAAAAAUUUAAAGGGCUAAAUUAAAGAUGGACCAGACUAAGUACUGGCAGGGGUGUAGAAUUAGAAAUUCACACACACUGGUAAUGGAAAAACAAAAAGGAACAACUGUUUUAAUCACAGUUUAGCAGUUUCUCUUAAAAAUUGGGCAGGCAUGGGGGCACACACCUGUAAUCUCAGUGACUCCGGAGGCUGAGACAGGAGGUUCACAAGUUGGAGGUCAGCCUUAGCAACUUAACAAGACUCUCAGCAGGUAAAGCAUCCCUGGAUUCAAUCCCCAAUACCAAAAGGCCAACGAACAAACAAAUUAAACAUUCAACUACCCUGUGACUUGGACACUACAGUCUGAAUUCUUAACAAGAAAAAGGAAACAAUAAUAAGAAAAAAUAUAUGUUCGGCAUGAGCUUUAUUUGCAACAAAAACUAACACAAAUGUUCAAAAUCUGAUGAAUGAAUAAAUAAAUAGUGGUAUGUCCACAGGAUAGAAUACAUUCAGCAAUAAAAAGAAUGAUGUACUUACAUAAACUUUGUUGAUUAAUCUCAAAAUAAUUACAGAACAUGAAGAAAACCAAAAAAAAAAAAAAAAAAAGCAAACAUUUUAAGGAUUCUAAUCAUGCAAAAUUAUAGAAAGCACAAAACAUCUAUUGUAAAGAAAAACGAGUGUAUAAUCUCGCUUCUCUGGGAAGAGAGAUUAUAAGGCAUGGUGGGACAUCCUUCUCAUCCCAGUUUGUGAGGCCAGGAAGAACACUCGAGGCCAGCCUCAGCAACUUAGCAAGGCCCUAAGUAAUUUAGUGAGACCCUGUCUCAAAAAUAAAAAUAAAAAGGACUGAGGAUGUUGCUCAGUGGUUAGUGCCCCUGGUACAAAAAAGAAAAAAAAAACAACUAUUGUUAAGCAUGAGAUGAGAAAAUUGAAUUGGAACUAUCAUGCCAGCAAAAAUUCAAUUACAAAGAGUAUGCAGUCCUCUUUGUUAUGAUAAUAUUAAUAAAGGAUACAGAUUGUAAAAUACCAGCCAAAAUUCGACUUUCAAAUCUCUCAGUUGGUUAGCUUUGUACUGGCUGGGUAUGACGCUUUAAGUAAAUCUGAUGAUUAAGUCAAAUGAUACACAAAAAGAAUUCCAUGUACCAAAAAACAACUUAAACAUGCAUAAUGAUCUCAAAAAUCUCAGAGUAAGACAUUCUCAGGGGGAAAAAAAAUUAUUGGUCUUGGUGAUGCGCCCCUGUAAUCCUAGCUCCUCAGGAGGCUGAGUUAGGAGGAUUGUAAGUUUGAGGCCAGCCUCAG
Molecule: long non-coding RNA, 1296 nt
Filed under: Marmota monax (woodchuck)
Lineage: Eukaryota; Metazoa; Chordata; Mammalia; Rodentia; Sciuridae
Source: RNAcentral